RNAcentral lists this ribosomal RNA (565 nucleotides) under uncultured bacterium. RNAcentral describes it as "bacterial SSU rRNA". It matches the Rfam family "Bacterial small subunit ribosomal RNA", at positions 567 to 1130 of the family's 1533-position model. The record is from RNAcentral.
GCAUGCGGGUGGUUCAUUAAGUCAGAUGUGAAAGCCCGGGGCUCAACCUCGGAACUGCAUUUGAAACUGGUGAACUAGAGUGCUGUAGAGGGGGGUAGAAUUUCAGGUGUAGCGGUGAAAUGCGUAGAGAUCUGAAGGAAUACCAGUGGCGAAGGCGGCCCCCUGGACAGACACUGACACUCAGAUGCGAAAGCGUGGGGAGCAAACAGGAUUAGAUACCCUGGUAGUCCACGCCGUAAACGAUGUCUACUUGGAGGUUGUGGCCUUGAGCCGUGGCUUUCGGAGCUAACGCGUUAAGUAGACCGCCUGGGGAGUACGGUCGCAAGAUUAAAACUCAAAUGAAUUGACGGGGGCCCGCACAAGCGGUGGAGCAUGUGGUUUAAUUCGAUGCAACGCGAAGAACCUUACCUACUCUUGACAUCCAGAGAAGCCAGCGGGAGACGCAGGUGUGCCUGCGGGAACUCUGAGACAGGUGCUGCAUGGCUGUCGUCAGCUCGUGUUGUGAAAUGUUGGGUUAAGUCCCGCAACGAGCGCAACCCUUAUCCUUGUUUGCCAGCGAGUCAUG